Molecule: ribosomal RNA, 467 nt
Filed under: uncultured bacterium
Lineage: Bacteria
Description: partial 16S ribosomal RNA
Rfam family: Bacterial small subunit ribosomal RNA
Source: RNAcentral
GACGAACGCUGGCGGCGUGCUUAACACAUGCAAGUCGAACGGAAAGGCCCUGCUUUUGUGGGGUGCUCGAGUGGCGAACGGGUGAGUAACACGUGAGUAACCUGCCCUUGACUUUGGGAUAACUUCAGGAAACUGGGGCUAAUACCGGAUAGGAGCUCCUGCUGCAUGGUGGGGGUUGGAAAGUUUCGGCGGUUGGGGAUGGACUCGCGGCUUAUCAGCUUGUUGGUGGGGUAGUGGCUUACCAAGGCUUUGACGGGUAGCCGGCCUGAGAGGGUGACCGGCCACAUGGGGACUGAGAUACGGCCCAGACUCCUACGGGGGGCAGCAGUGGGGAAUAUUGCACAAGGGGCGGAAGCCUGAUGCAGCAACGCCGCGGGCGGGAUGACGGCCUUCGGGUUGUAAACCGCUUUCGCCUGUGACGAAGCGGGAGUGACGGUAAUGGGGAAAGAAGCACCGGCUAACUACGU